RNAcentral lists this transfer RNA (85 nucleotides) under Felis catus (domestic cat). It matches the Rfam family "tRNA". Rfam says of the family: Transfer RNA (tRNA) molecules are approximately 80 nucleotides in length. Their secondary structure includes four short double-helical elements and three loops (D, anti-codon, and T loops). Lineage: Eukaryota; Metazoa; Chordata; Mammalia; Carnivora; Felidae. The record is from Rfam by way of RNAcentral.
ACCCGGGUGGCUCGGUCGGUUGAGCAUCUGAUUUUAGCUCAGGUCAUGAUCUCUCGGUUUGUGGGUUCGAGUCCCCCAUCGGGCU